RNAcentral lists this ribosomal RNA (273 nucleotides) under uncultured bacterium. RNAcentral's name for it is "partial 16S ribosomal RNA". It matches the Rfam family "Bacterial small subunit ribosomal RNA", at positions 523 to 796 of the family's 1533-position model. The record is from RNAcentral.
AUACGGAGGGUGCAAGCGUUACUCGGAAUCACUGGGCGUAAAGCGCGCGCAGGCGGCUUGAUAAGUUGGAUGUGAAAGCCUACGGCUCAACCGUAGAACUGCAUCCAAAACUGUCAGGCUAGAGUGUGGGAGAGGAAGAUGGAAUUAGUUGUGUAGGGGUAAAAUCCGUAGAGAUAACUAGGAAUACCAAAAGCGAAGGCAAUCUUCUGGAACACUACUGACGCUGAGGCGCGAAGGCGUGGGAGCAAACAGGAUUAGAAACCCUGGUAGUCC